Molecule: ribosomal RNA, 468 nt
Filed under: uncultured bacterium
Lineage: Bacteria
Description: partial 16S ribosomal RNA
Rfam family: Bacterial small subunit ribosomal RNA
Source: RNAcentral
GACGAACGCUGGCGGCGUGCUUAACACAUGCCAGUCGAACGGAAAGGCCCUGCUUUUGUGGGGUGCUCGAGUGGCGAACGGGUGAGUAACAAGUGAGUAACCUGCCCUUGACUUUGGGAUAACUUCAGGAAACUGGGGCUAAUACCGGAUAGGAGCUCCUGCUGCAUGGUGGGGGUUGGAAAGUUUCGGCGGUUGGGGAUGGACUCGCGGCUUAUCAGCUUGUUGGUGGGGUAGUGGCUUACCAAGGCUUUGACGGGUAGCCGGCCUGAGAGGGUGACCGGCCACAUUGCGUCUGAGCUACGACCCAGACUCCUACGGGAGGCAACAGUGGGGAAUAUUGCACAAUGGGCGGAAGCCUGAUGCAGCAACGCCGCGUGCGGGAUGACGGCCUUCGGGUUGUAAACCGCUUUCGCCUGUGACGAAGCGUGAGUGACGGUAAUGGGUAAAGAAGCACCGGCUAACUACGUG